Molecule: ribosomal RNA, 468 nt
Filed under: uncultured bacterium
Lineage: Bacteria
Description: partial 16S ribosomal RNA
Rfam family: Bacterial small subunit ribosomal RNA
Source: RNAcentral
GACGAACGCUGGCGGCGUGCUUAACACAUGCAAGUCGAACGGGAAGUCCCUGCUUUUGUGGGGUGCUCGAGUUGCGAACUGGUGACUAACACUUGAGUUAGCUGCCCUUGACUUUGGGAUAACUUCAUAAAACUUGGUCUCAUACCGGAUAGGAGCUCCUGCUUCAGGGUGGGGGUGGGAUAGUUUCGGUGGUUGGGGAUGUACUCGCGGCCUAUCAGCUUGUUGGUGGGGUAGUGGCUUAGCAAGACUUGGACGGCUAGCCGGCCUGAGAGGGUGACCGGCAACAUUGGGACUGAGAUACGGACAAGACUCAUACGCGAGGGAGAAGUGGGGGUUAUUGAAAAAUGGGAGGAAGCGUGAUGCAGCAACGCCGAGGGCGGGAUGACGACGUUGGGGUUGGAAACGGAUUUCGCCUGUGACGGAGAGUAAGUGACGAUAAUGGGUAAAGAAGGACCGGCUAAAUACGUG